AUAAGGUAUACAGAGAACGGAAGCAGACUUAUGAUAUAAU
RNAcentral lists this non-coding RNA (40 nucleotides) under Trypanosoma brucei brucei. The record is from RNAcentral. Lineage: Eukaryota; Euglenozoa; Kinetoplastea; Trypanosomatida; Trypanosomatidae.